GUGCUCACUUUGGCAGCAUGGGUACCAAAAUUGGAAUGAUACAGAGAAGAUCAGCAUGGCUCCUGAAUGAGGAUGACA
Small nuclear RNA from Macaca nemestrina (pig-tailed macaque), 78 nucleotides. Lineage: Eukaryota; Metazoa; Chordata; Mammalia; Primates; Cercopithecidae. The record is from Ensembl.